UCUUCGUGCUCCUGUUCUCCGUGGCUGUGCUGACACUCUGCAAGAAAAGAGCCUCUAAACCCAAAGAACAUCCUGAGGAAACAGAGUCUGCUAAUGUCACAGAGACCAGACGGCUGUAUGAGGAGAUCAGAGAGGAUCAGAG
Molecule: long non-coding RNA, 142 nt
Organism: Scomber japonicus (chub mackerel)
Lineage: Eukaryota; Metazoa; Chordata; Actinopteri; Scombriformes; Scombridae
Exons: 3
Source: RefSeq, a predicted model, not a curated record